AUUGAACGCUGGCGGCAGGCCUAACACAUGCAAGUCGAACGGUAACAGGAAGAAGCUUGCUUCUUUGCUGACGAGUGGCGGACGGGUGAGUAAUGUCUGGGAAACUGCCUGAUGGAGGGGGAUAACUACUGGAAACGGUAGCUAAUACCGCAUAACGUCGCAAGACCAAAGAGGGGGACCUUCGGGCCUCUUGCCAUCGGAUGUGCCCAGAUGGGAUUAGCUAGUAGGUGGGGUAACGGCUCACCUAGGCGACGAUCCCUAGCUGGUCUGAGAGGAUGACCAGCCACACUGGAACUGAGACACGGUCCAGGCUCCUACGGGAGGCAGCAGUGGGGAAUAUUGCACAAAGGGCGCAAGCCUGAUGCAGCCAUGCCGCGUGUAUGAAGAAGGCCUUCGGGUUGUAAAGUACUUUCAGCGGGGAGGAAGGGAGUAAAGUUAAUACCUUUGCUCAUUGACGUUACCCGCAGAAGAAGCACCGGCUAACUCCGUG
Molecule: ribosomal RNA, 490 nt
Filed under: uncultured bacterium
Lineage: Bacteria
Description: partial 16S ribosomal RNA
Rfam family: Bacterial small subunit ribosomal RNA
Source: RNAcentral